UACGUAGGGUGCAAGCGUUGUCCGGAUUUAUUGGGCGUAAAGAGCUCGUAGGCGGUUUGGCAAGUCAGGUGUGAAAACUUCAGGCUCAACCUGGAGAUGCCACCUGAUACUGCUAUGACUUGAGUCUGGUAGGGGAUCACGGAAUUCCUGGUGUAGCGGUGAAAUGCGCAGAUAUCAGGAAGAACACCCGUGGCGAAGGCGGCUCUCUGGAACGCAACUGACGCUGAGACGCGAAAGCGUGGGGAGCAAACAGG
Molecule: ribosomal RNA, 254 nt
Filed under: uncultured bacterium
Lineage: Bacteria
Description: partial 16S ribosomal RNA
Rfam family: Bacterial small subunit ribosomal RNA
Source: RNAcentral